AGAUAAAGAACCAAGACACAAAUCGGUGCUCAACAGGGACUUGUGGAAGGAAAUUUGCCUGUCCUCUGGGGUGGAAUCCAUCAAGGCUCAGGAGAAACCUGGGCUUCUGUGCUGCUGAGGUCAGAGCCAACCUGUCCCAGGAGCCCAUGGGGGUCCUCUCAUCCCUGCCCCUCCCCGCUGCUGAGAGCGACAGGGCUGAGGGCACACCCUGCCAUCCUGUGGGCCACACGCUCCUGUGGACAGCUCUGCUAUUCCUGGCUCCUGUGGCUGGGACACCUGCGGAUCUCCCGAAGGCCGUGGUGGACCUCAAGCCCCCCUGGAUCAACGUGCUCAGGGAGGAUUAUGUGACUCUGAGGUGCCAGGGGGCCCUCUCGCCUGAGGACUCCCCCACCCAGUGGUUCUUUAACGGGAGCUCCAUCCGGACCCAGGUCCGGCCGCGCUACAGCUUCAAGGCCAGCAGCAGCCACAGCGGGGACUACAGGUGCCAGACGGACCAGACCAGCCUCAGCGACCCUGUGCAUCUGGACGUGAUUUCUGACUGGCUGCUGCUCCAGACCCCUCGCCUGGUGUUCCAGGAGCCAGAGCCCAUCCUGUUGAGGUGCCACAGCUGGAAAAACAAGUCUCUGUACAAGGUCACAUUCUUCCAGGACGGAAAACCCAGGAAAUUUUCCCAUAUGAAUUCCAGCUUCUCCAUCCCACGAGCGAACGUCAGUCACAGCGGCUCAUACCACUGCACCGGGGUCAUAGGGCAGAUGCGGCACUCAUCCCGGCCUCUGACCAUCACUGUCCAAGGGUCCAGCUCGAGCCACUCCUCGCUGGUGACGAUAGCUGUGGCUGUGGUCAUAGGGAUUGCCGCAGUGGCCACUCUUGCUGCCAUAGUAACCUGGCUCCGUCUCAGGCAAAAGCGGACUUCAGCUCUCCUAGGAACCCCUGAGAGCAGGGAAAUGGGAGAGGCCUUCCCUGAGGAGCCAGGUGAGUGCAGCUCCCCCUUGGGGACUCAUGACACCCCACCUGGGGCUGCCAGACGGACUGACAGCAAGAAGUGGCUUGUAAUUCCGAGCAUGGCACACAGGGGCCCUUUGUGUCCGCGGGAUGAGUGAAGAGACUAGAUGCAUUGUCUCAGACUCCCUCCCCACUUCCUGAGGAAUGCGGCUUUGCAAAUACUGAGGCUGCUUUUUACGCUGGCAAACCCCUCUCACUGACGCCGAAGAGGCUGCCAAAAGGGAGGCUGAGAACACCAUCACCUAUUCCCUUCUCAUGCACCCAGAAGCGCCAGAGGAGGAAACCUCAGAUUACCAGAACCACAUUUAGUGUCCUCUGUCUUGCCCGACUUGGGGAAGAGAAGCGGAGAGGCCAGGACCGCUGUCUUCCGGCCUCGGGGAGGUCAAGGGGACCCCGCAGUUGCAGAGAAGGCCUCUUCCAGAGUUCUCCACGUGUCCCCUGAAGCUCCCUGUCCUGAAGGCCGCAGAAUAUACGACCCAGAUGACUGACUUCCGAUUCCUUCCAUGCCUCAGCCCUUCUCGCCACCCAGACUCCUCUCCAUGUGCACGCAGCCAAUAAAAAUUACUUUUAUUAAGA
Manis javanica (Malayan pangolin) is the source of this 1578-nucleotide non-coding RNA. NCBI's taxonomy places the organism in Eukaryota, Metazoa, Chordata, Mammalia, Pholidota, Manidae. The record is from RefSeq and is a predicted model, not a curated record.